UUAUGGCCAUAUCACGUUGAAACCCCGGUUACCGUACGAUCACCGUAGAUAAACUACAACGAGUCUGGUCAGUAACCAGAUGAGUGACCGCUUGGGAAUACCAGGUGCUGUAAG
Molecule: non-coding RNA, 114 nt
Organism: Acanthosepion pharaonis
Lineage: Eukaryota; Metazoa; Mollusca; Cephalopoda; Sepiida; Sepiidae
Source: the annotation of a GenBank genome assembly